GGGGCCGAUCCGGAUUCGACGUGGGUCGCGAAGCAACUCAGGGCAUGCCGAGCACCAGUUCGCUCGUUAAACCACUGGAAACACUACAAACGCCAACGACGAGCGUUUCGCUCUCGCCGCUUAAGCGGUGAGCCGCUGCACUGAUCUGUCCUUGGGUCAGGCGGAGGAAGGCAACUUCCUAGGGGGCAACCCCGAACCGCAGCAGCGACAUUCACAAGGAAUCGGUCUGCACUGGGGUCACACGGUUCAGGCUUAAAUUACGUGAAUCGCCUUGGUCCGGCCUGUCGGUUGGCUAAGUCCAGGGUUAAAUCCAAAUAGGCCGACUACGCAUGUAGAACUGGUUGUAGAGGGCUUGCGGACGGGGGUUCAAUUCCCCCCGGCUCCACCA
This 388-nucleotide transfer-messenger RNA is filed under the name Burkholderiales. RNAcentral's name for it is "Bordetella_A sp019218885 Standard tmRNA". It matches the Rfam family "transfer-messenger RNA". Rfam says of the family: Bacterial tmRNA, also known as 10Sa RNA or SsrA, is named for its dual tRNA and mRNA-like properties. Its role is to liberate the mRNA from a stalled ribosome. To accomplish this part of the tmRNA is used as a reading frame that ends in a translation stop signal. The record is from RNAcentral. RNAcentral also lists the same sequence under 2 other names. Lineage: Bacteria; Pseudomonadati; Pseudomonadota; Betaproteobacteria.